This 248-nucleotide ribosomal RNA is filed under the name uncultured bacterium. Its description in RNAcentral is "partial 16S ribosomal RNA". It matches the Rfam family "Bacterial small subunit ribosomal RNA", at positions 134 to 398 of the family's 1533-position model. The record is from RNAcentral.
AGGUUCGGAAUAACGGCUGGAAACGGCCGCUAAUACCGGAUGUGCCCUGAGGGGCAAAGGCUUGCCGCCUUGGGAGGGGCCCGCGUCCGAUUAGCUAGUUGGUGGGGUAAUGGCCUACCAAGGCGACGAUCGGUAGCUGGUCUGAGAGGAUGAUCAGCCACACUGGGACUGAGACACGGCCCAGACUCCUACGGGAGGCAGCAGUGGGGAAUAUUGGACAAUGGGCGCAAGCCUGAUCCAGCAAUGCC